GUGCUCUUGUUGACAGCACAUAUACUAAAAUUAGAAUGAAACAGAGAUUACCAUGCCCCUGAACAAGAAUGGCAUGCAAAUAUGUGAAGUGUUCUGUAUUUUU
Small nuclear RNA from Tupaia belangeri (northern tree shrew), 103 nucleotides. NCBI's taxonomy places the organism in Eukaryota, Metazoa, Chordata, Mammalia, Scandentia, Tupaiidae. The record is from Ensembl.